GCCGGGUGCGGUGGCGCGCGCCUGUAAUCCAGACUACGGGAGGCUGAGGCUGGCGGAUCGUUGAGCUCAGGAGCUCUGAGCUGCAGCGGACUAUGUCGAUGGUGUCCCGCACAAGUUCGUAUCGAUAUGGUGCUCCUGGGGGAGCCCGGGACCACCAGGUCGUCUAAGGAGGGGUGCACCGGCCCAGGUCGGAAACGGAGCAGGUCAAAGCCCCCGUGCCGCUCAGUAGUGGGAUCGCGCCUGUGAAUAGACGCUGUAGGCAGCCUGAGUAAACAGCGGAACCAACUUUUU
This 291-nucleotide signal recognition particle RNA is filed under the name Larimichthys crocea (large yellow croaker). RNAcentral's name for it is "Metazoan signal recognition particle RNA (ENSLCRG00005023506.1)". It matches the Rfam family "Metazoan signal recognition particle RNA". Rfam says of the family: The signal recognition particle (SRP) is a universally conserved ribonucleoprotein. The record is from RNAcentral. Lineage: Eukaryota; Metazoa; Chordata; Actinopteri; Sciaenidae.